UCCUAGUAAUCCAGGGCAAUGCCCUCUCUUCUGGGGUAAAAUUAAUUCCUCACAACACAAGGCACCAUCCACAAAUUUAGUAAAAUAUUUCUGAAGAUUCUGGUGCUUUACACGAGUCUGUGCUCUGAGCAUAUGUGGAAACUUUCUAUAAGAAAAUGUACAUUUCUGUUCAAUAAAGUGGUAAGCUUUCAUUAUAAUUUCCACUAUUACUGCCUUAAUAAAUAUAUCUUUCUCUCUUCAUUUCUUUUUGCUUACCAACCCUUUUUCCCUGUCCUGUACUUUCUAUUUUAAAUUAAUUCAGUUUUAAAGAAUGCUUAAUGUAAGAUACCUUAUGUUUUACUCUUUUUUUUUCUGUCAAAUAAAAACAAUUUAUGGCUAAUUUUUUCUUUGUGUCCAUAUGGCAUUUUAAUCUACUAAACACUGUCAGACAUUUUGCUGAGAUUUUAAAGUCUUAAAGUCUGAGGAAUGUUUUUUCCAUUUUUUUAAAGUGGAAAAACUGAGCCAUAAAUUUUUUUUUUAAGACUAAGCCAGGCAUAGGAUUAGUUUUCUUAUUCUGCCUAAAUUCUGCAAAUGGGGGUGUUUAAUUGCUGAAAACAAAUUUCAUUAUGUUCAAGCCUCAAUCAUUUUAUGAUCACAAGGUACCUGAAACAAAGAUCUUACAUUAAUAGAUAUAUAAGAUGCAUGUGUAGGGGGUGUAUUUGAUUGUAGAUGUAUUUUCUACCUCAUUACUUCAAUAUUCUGCUGUAGCAAAAUAUAUGAAAUGCUACCUUGAAUAGAAAUAGUUAAAUUUGGACACUAACAUUGCUCUUUCCUCGUUAUUGUUAUAUUCUGCACUGCUGUCUUAGGAUGUCAACCAUGGAUUAACUGAGUUGGCAGAUAUCCCUGUUACAAUCUGUACAUAUCCAUUUGUAUUUGAUGCCCAAGCAAAAACUACUCUGUUACAGACCGAUGCAGUCUUACAGAUGCAGAUGGCUAUUGAUCAGGCCCACAGGCAGAAUGUCUCCUCUCUUUUUCUCCCAGUGAUUGAAUCUGUGAAUCCCUGCUUAAUUCUAGUGGUGCGUAGAGAAAAUAUUGUAGGAGAUGCAAUGGAAGUCCUUAGGAAAACAAAGAACAUAGAUUACAAGAAGCCACUCAAGGUUAUAUUUGUUGGAGAAGAUGCUGUGGAUGCAGGAGGGGUGCGCAAAGAAUUUUUCUUGCUCAUCAUGAGGGAAUUAUUGGAUCCUAAAUACGGCAUGUUUAGGUAUUAUGAAGAUUCCAGGCUCAUUUGGUUUUCUGAUAAGGUAAAAUGUCCAACCAUCUAA
This 1301-nucleotide long non-coding RNA is filed under the name Pan troglodytes (chimpanzee). RNAcentral describes it as "lncRNA (ENSPTRG00000054309.1)". Lineage: Eukaryota; Metazoa; Chordata; Mammalia; Primates; Hominidae. The record is from RNAcentral.